This 253-nucleotide ribosomal RNA is filed under the name uncultured bacterium. RNAcentral's name for it is "partial 16S ribosomal RNA". It matches the Rfam family "Bacterial small subunit ribosomal RNA", at positions 524 to 776 of the family's 1533-position model. The record is from RNAcentral.
UACGGAGGGUGCAAGCAUUGAUCGGAAUUACUGGGCGUAAAGGGCUCGUAGGCGGCCAACUAAGUCAGACGUGAAAUCCCUCGGCUUAACCGGGGAACUGCGUCUGAUACUGGAUGGCUUGAGAUUGGGAGAGGGAUGCGGAAUUCCAGGUGUAGCGGUGAAAUGCGUAGAUAUCUGGAGGAACACCGGUGGCGAAGGCGGCAUCCUGGACCAACACUGACGCUGAGGAGCGAAAGCCAGGGGAGCAAACGGG